AUCAACAGUGUGUGCCACGUGUUGAAUAACGCCGCCCUUUCACGCCCCGUUCCACUCCUCCCUUUUUUGCUCCACGCCACUUUUCUUACGUGUGCUGACGUGGCUGCCACAUGUCACAUAGUGCCCUAUUUUCAUGCCCCUCCUCACCGAAUUGUCUUACCAGUGGGUCAGUCGAUUCUAGCGUUGGAGCGGAGCAGUCGUGAUUCUACUUGUCUAGGCAUCGAGCGUUAGAGAAACUGAGCAGGUCGGAGAUGAAGUUUUCCUCAAAAGCAUUUUAAACUCUACCGAGACUGUAGCAAGAGGAAGGGUCUAGAGCUUGGACCCAAAUGAUCUAGUUGGUGGUAUAGAGAUUGGACUAGAAUGGUGUGAGGUAAACGUUCAAGUACCAAUAAAAAAAGAUGAAAACUUGGUAAGACCAUAUGGUUUAUUUUCUACAAUUCAAGAUUGUAUUGGUGCAUCCAUCACAUGGCCCUAUCCAAUCAUCUUGGUAGUCCAUGAGGAUUGAGGACGCAUGAUGACUCAAG
Molecule: long non-coding RNA, 524 nt
Organism: Helianthus annuus (common sunflower)
Lineage: Eukaryota; Viridiplantae; Streptophyta; Magnoliopsida; Asterales; Asteraceae
Exons: 4
Source: RefSeq, a predicted model, not a curated record